This 253-nucleotide ribosomal RNA is filed under the name uncultured bacterium. RNAcentral describes it as "partial 16S ribosomal RNA". It matches the Rfam family "Bacterial small subunit ribosomal RNA", at positions 524 to 776 of the family's 1533-position model. The record is from RNAcentral.
UACGUAGGGUGCAAGCGUUAAUCGGAAUUACUGGGCGUAAAGCGUGCGCAGGCGGUUAUGUAAGACAGGUGUGAAAUCCCCGGGCUUAACCUGGGAACUGCAUUUGUGACUGCAUAGCUAGAGUACGGUAGAGGGGGAUGGAAUUCCGCGUGUAGCAGUGAAAUGCGUAGAUAUGCGGAGGAACACCGAUGGCGAAGGCAAUCCCCUGGACCUGUACUGACGCUCAUGCACGAAAGCGUGGGUAGCAAACAGG